CAGUCGCCGCGGUAAACGAAGGGGGCUAGCGUUGUUCGGAUUUACUGGGCGUAAAGCGCACGUAGGCGGAUCCUUAAGUCAGAGGUGAAAUCCCAAGGCUCAACCUUGGAACUGCCUUUGAUACUGGGGAUCUCGAGUUCGGGAGAGGUGAGUGGAACUGCGAGCGUAGAGGUGAAAUUCGUAGAUAUUCGCAAGAACACCAGUGGCGAAGGCGGCUCACUGGCCCGGAACUGACGCUGAGGUGCGAAAGCGUGGGGAGCAAACAGGAUUAGAUACCCCCGUAGUCCCUGUCUCUUAUACA
RNAcentral lists this ribosomal RNA (301 nucleotides) under uncultured bacterium. RNAcentral's name for it is "partial 16S ribosomal RNA". It matches the Rfam family "Bacterial small subunit ribosomal RNA", at positions 509 to 808 of the family's 1533-position model. The record is from RNAcentral.